RNAcentral lists this ribosomal RNA (497 nucleotides) under uncultured bacterium. Its description in RNAcentral is "partial 16S ribosomal RNA". It matches the Rfam family "Bacterial small subunit ribosomal RNA", at positions 899 to 1397 of the family's 1533-position model. The record is from RNAcentral.
ACUCAAAUGAAUAGACGGGGGCCCGCACAAGCGGUGGAGCAUGUGGUUUAAUUCGAUGCAACGCGAAGAACCUUACCUGGGUUUGACAUCCCCGGACCGCGCCAGAGAUGGCGUUUCCCCUUCGGGGGCCGGGAGACAGGUGCUGCAUGGCUGUCGUCAGCUCGUAUCGUGAGAUGUCGGGUUAAGUCCCUUAACGAGCGCAACCCUUAUCCCUAGUUGCCAUCAUUCAGUUGGGCACUCUACGGAGACUGCCGGUGUUAAACCGGAGGAAGGUGGGGAUGACGUCAAGUCCUCAUGGCCUUUAUAUCCAGGGCUACACACGUGCUACAAUGGCUGGUACAAAGAGUUGCCAACCCGCGAGGGGGAGCUAAUCUCAGAAAGCCAGUCUCAGUUCGGAUUGAAGUCUGCAAUUCGACUUCAUGAAGCUGGAAUCGCUAGUAAUCGCGGAUCAGAACGCCGCGGUGAAUACGUUCCCGGGCCUUGUACACACCGCCCGU